RNAcentral lists this ribosomal RNA (253 nucleotides) under uncultured bacterium. RNAcentral's name for it is "partial 16S ribosomal RNA". It matches the Rfam family "Bacterial small subunit ribosomal RNA", at positions 524 to 776 of the family's 1533-position model. The record is from RNAcentral.
UACGGAGGGAGCGAACGUUGUUCGGAUUUACUGGGCGUAAAGGGUGUGUAGGCGGUCUUGCAAGUCAGGGGUGAAAUCUCUCGGCUCAACCGAGAAACUGCCUUUGAGACUGCAGGACUUGAGGGCGUGAGAGGAGACUGGAAUUUAAGGUGUAGCGGUGAAAUGCGUAGAUAUCGUAAGGAAGACCAGUGGCGAAGGCGGGUCUCUGGACAGUUCCUGACGCUGAGGCACGAAGGUCAGGGGAGCAAACGGG